AAAGAUAAGCUAAUUAAGCUAUUGGGUUCAUACCCCACUUAUGAAGAUCAACUUCUUCUCUUUUAA
This 66-nucleotide transfer RNA is filed under the name Bolivaritettix lativertex. Its description in RNAcentral is "tRNA-Met". Lineage: Eukaryota; Metazoa; Arthropoda; Insecta; Orthoptera; Tetrigidae. The record is from RNAcentral.